This is a long non-coding RNA of Rhododendron vialii, 1783 nucleotides long. RefSeq lists it as uncharacterized. NCBI's taxonomy places the organism in Eukaryota, Viridiplantae, Streptophyta, Magnoliopsida, Ericales, Ericaceae. The record is from RefSeq and is a predicted model, not a curated record. The transcript is spliced from 3 exons.
UGUGUUUCUUAAAAUAGGUCUAGCCACACUGAAUGAAAAAUAUCGAACCCGUCUCCUUCCCUUAACCUGGCGUCUUCAAUUCCUAGAGAAUUUCUACCUGUAUGCUUCAAUUUUCAAUGAUCUGAGACAGUCAUUUUGUAGAAAUCAUUAUAGGAGUACACCAUGUUAAAAUUCAUGUCAAUUGGAUUCAGAUUGAUACUUGAUCUUGAUGUAUUUCUGUCUAUAUUUGUUUCUUAAAAUAGGUUCAGAUACACUGAAUGAAAACCAUCAAACCCGUUUCCCUGUCAUAUUCAACGCUGUCGUAUGGAUAUCGCGAUCUUCACAACAUUAGCGCCAUCUUCUUCCACACGAGGAACUGGUAACUCUCUCCUUUCCCAAUAUUUUAAUUACACUAGUUUUCAAUUUCGAUUACUAUGUUCAGUCCUUUGUCCAAUUUUUGGAUUCGAUAGUAUUUAUCAAGGAACUAUUUCCGCUCCAAUUACGUACUCAAGAAGAAACGGGUUUCCUCUAAUUUUGGUUGCGAAUUCUCACCCCAGUCUCCCUUUAAUUUCUUAAGAUUGUUUUAGAUUUUCGCCUUUUCGUUUUCUGUUUCAUUGAAUGUUAGUGGGUCUUUACGGUUAAAAGAUACUACUUACUGCGGUGUUCCUGAAGUUCAAUUUUUGUUCUAAUAUAAAGAUAAUUAUGAUAAUUAUUUGAGUUACAACCAAUCAAUGACUGGGUUUGAUAAUUUUCUUUGGUAAGCAAUAUAAAGAUCAAUUCUUGUUUCGAUAUAUAUUGCAAUGGGUUCGCUGAUAUUGAUUUGGUAAUUUGUGCUCUUAUGCAUUGUUCUCCAGCUUGAGACAUCCCUUGCUUGGUGGAGUAUAUAAGAGCAUGAUUGUUGUGCCAAAUCUCAGUUUGGCCUCAAUUCAAACAUGCACUACCGGAAAAAAUUCACAGAGAUUGUAUAAAUCUAGUCCCUUUAGUGUCUCGUUGCAAUGUAGUCGAGUCUCAAAUUUCAAAGAAUGGGAGGCCACUUCGAUAAGCUGUAGACAGAAAAGAAGGUGUGACCGCUAUGACAUGCACAAUGUGCUAGUUCCUUAAUCUGAAGCAUGGUCUUGGCAGAAGUCCAUAGUUAAGGAGAGGAAGGCAUUAGUCGAAAUAAACCAAGACCUUUCUGACUCCGUGAUUGUUUUACAACACCACCCGGUUUAUACGUUGGGUACUGGUCAGAAGACUACUUGAAUUUUGAUUUAACGCUCCUUAUGAUGUUUACUGAACGGAACGCGGUGGUGAAGUUACGUACCAUGGGCCUGGUCAGAUAUGCAGACUUCCUGCUUAAGAAUACCAUGGGAAAAAACUGGAUGAUCAGAUAUAAGAAGUGCAACAUUACAAACGGUGUUGGUGUUGCAGCAUCAACUCCCCAUGAAGGGCUUUGACAAAGUAUAUUCAUCUCAACUGACUCCAGAAAAUCCCUGGAUACAUGGACACGUAUCCCAGCGGGCCAGCGUCAACAUGUCCAGAACCUGAUAUUGGGGUGAUUGCAUGCUGCGCAUUUAGUUGCUCUGCAAUUUCCCUUGUUGGGGCUGAAACAAGGUCUUGAGUUUCUUUCCACUGCCGGCACUUUCUGGGGUUAGAGUUGAAUGGACAUCCUCAGUUUCAAAAACACAUUGUAAUCAAGAACAAGAUUAACAGCUCCUUCUCUGUAAAUCCAAUUGCUCUCAUCUUUUUGCUCUUAAAAUCACCUCCAUCCAUGCCAAAGCUCAAUUUGGUAGUCCAAUAAGAUGAUUGAGUUUUAUGAUCGUAA